GACGAACGCUGGCGGCGUGCUUAACACAUGCAAGUCGAACGGAAAGGCCCUGCUUUUGUGGGGUGCUCGAGUGGCGAACGGGUGAGUAACACGUGAGUAACCUGCCCCUGACUUUGGGAUAACUUCAGGAAACUGGGGCUAAUACCGGAUAGGAUCUCCUGCUGCAUGGUGGGGGUUGGAAAGUUUCGGCGGUUGGGGAUGGACUCGCGGCUUAUCAGCUUGUUGGUGAGGUAGUGGCUUACCAAGGCUUUGACGGGUAGCCGGCCUGAGAGGGUGACCGGCGACAUUGGGACUGAGGUACGGAGCAGACUCCUACGGGAGGCAGCAGGGGGGAGUAUUGCACAAUGGGCGGAAGCCUGAUGCAGCAACGCCGCGUGCGGGAUGCCGGGCUUCGGGUUGUAAACCGCUUUCGCCUGUGACGAAGCGUGAGUGACGGUAAUGGGUAAAGAAGCACCGGCUAACUACGUG
RNAcentral lists this ribosomal RNA (468 nucleotides) under uncultured bacterium. RNAcentral describes it as "partial 16S ribosomal RNA". It matches the Rfam family "Bacterial small subunit ribosomal RNA", at positions 28 to 507 of the family's 1533-position model. The record is from RNAcentral.